UAUGGAAUCAUCACUCAUUUAUUAGAGCGGCCAGGAAGGCAACGUUGAUCAUCUUUCCGUCUCCUUGGUUCACCGUCUCUCCGUCCGCUGCCCAGGGCGGGGAUCCCGGGGAACUCAACACAAUUCUUGUCGCAGUGAUACACUUGACCAGGGGUGCCCAUUACGUCGAUCCUGAUCUACCUGUAGAUCUAAGACGGGUCCCAAGUAGAACCGAAGAGUGUCGAGGAGAAGAAGAAAAAAAAAACUUUGUACAUGUUAGUAACAUAUUUUUUUGUGUUCAUGUACGCUGCACCCUAAUCAUCUUAUCAGUCUUAUUUUCACACAAAAAAAUAUAUUUAAAAAAUAAAAUAAAGCAGGUAAAUCAUGAAUUUCCGGUGGCUUGUAAUUACGUCACCGGAAGUUGUUAGCGCUCAGCAGCACUCUGCAAUUGUAGCUUGUGAUCAGAGCUGUUGCGAUCUAUCUUUUAUCGUCAUUAUUCUCAUUCAGAGUUUGCUUGGUGUACAGUUCACCGAGGGCACUGGCAAAGAAUUGAAAUCUAGGAGGGUCCAGGGAAGCACUUUAAAACGGUCCUGGGGUUUCCGUACGGGCCAGAAUCCCCAGUGUCGCUGGGAAUGGGGUCAAAGGUGAUGGUGCCAUUGUUGAGGUCCAACGUGGUCGGAGGGGACAUGUCAGGAGCCGAGGCGUGACGGUAGAGCUCCGAAGCGCAGUCAUCGAGGAGGGGCUCCUGCUUGAUGACCCGACCCAUCAUCUCUGAGGUGCACACCGACGGGGACGAGACGACGGAGUUGCUGAUGGCGAGGCCCGGGUGGGGCAGUCCUUGGUUGCCGUAUGCUUCCAGAAGAUUACCAGACACUGGUAGCUUGAGAGAAAAUGGUUGAGAAUUGUCAGACGCAUUCUUGAUCAAAUUGACUCGCUUAUUUCUGAAAAUAUGGGCAGUCAACGACACGGCUGAAGUGAGAAAAGCAGGUUGCAAUUACCGCGCUGUUAAGUUGAAGCCCUUGAUCCAUCAGUCCAAGAACGUCUUCGUUGUAACUUGACUCCAUGCUGAUGAUAUCGUCAAUAACUUCAUCCAUCUGUGUGACAUGAAAAAAAAACAAGAGCGCGUUUCAUGACGUUCAAUAUAAAUAGAUAAGUCAAUAAAAUGCUCCCAAUUGAGAAAAAACGCCGUCGAGUCACCCAAACGUAAUGAAAGUCAUGACUUUUUGUUACGCGUACCUCUUUCUCACAGUUUGAGGUGAGGGUGAGAUGAGCCAUGGGACUG
This is a long non-coding RNA of Hippocampus zosterae (dwarf seahorse), 1261 nucleotides long. RefSeq lists it as uncharacterized. The transcript is spliced from 3 exons. The record is from RefSeq and is a predicted model, not a curated record. Lineage: Eukaryota; Metazoa; Chordata; Actinopteri; Syngnathiformes; Syngnathidae.